UACGAAGGGGGCUAGCGUUGCUCGGAAUUACUGGGCGUAAAGGGCGCGUAGGCGGGUUAUCAAGUUGGAGGUGAAAGCCCAGGGCUCAACCUUGGAAUUGCCUUCAAAACUGAUAACCUAGAGGAUGAUAGAGGUAAGUGGAACUCCGAGUGUAGAGGUGAAAUUCGUAGAUAUUCGGAAGAACACCAGUGGCGAAGGCGACUUACUGGAUCAUUACUGACGCUGAGGCUCGAAAGCGUGGGGAGCAAACAGG
This 253-nucleotide ribosomal RNA is filed under the name uncultured bacterium. RNAcentral describes it as "partial 16S ribosomal RNA". It matches the Rfam family "Bacterial small subunit ribosomal RNA", at positions 524 to 776 of the family's 1533-position model. The record is from RNAcentral.